AGAGUUUGAUCCUGGCUCAGAUUGAACGUUGGCGGCAGGCCUAACACAUGCAAGUCGAGCGGAAACGACACCUUCGGGUGGGCGUCGAGCGGCGGACGGGUGAGUAACGCAUAGGAAUCUGCCCGGUCGUGGGGGAUAACCUGGGGAAACUCAGGCUAAUACCGCAUACGUCCUACGGGAGAAAGGGGGCUCCGGCUCCCGCGAUCGGAUGAGCCUAUGUCGGAUUAGCCGGCUGGUGAGGUAACGGCUCACCAGGGCGACGAUCCGUAGCUGGUUUGAGAGGAUGAUCAGCCACACCGGGACUGAGACACGGCCCGGACUCCUACGGGAGGCAGCAGUGGGGAAUAUUGGACAAUGGGCGCAAGCCUGAUCCAGCCAUGCCGCGUGUGUGAAGAAGGCUUUCGGGUUGUAAAGCACUUUCAGUGAGGAAGAACGCUGUCGGGUUAAUACCCCGGCAGAGAGACAUCACUCACGGAAGAAGCACCGGCUAACUCCGUGCCAGCAGCCGCGGUAAUACGGAGGGUGCAAGCGUUAAUCGGAAUGACUGGGCGUAAAGCGCGCGUAGGCGGCACGAUCAGCCGGUUGUGAAAGCCCCGGGCUCAACCCGGGAACCGCAUCCGGAACUGUCGCGCUGGAGUGCAGGAGAGGAAGGUAGAAUUCCCGGUGUAGCGGUGAAAUGCGUAGAGAUCGGGAGGAAUACCAGUGGCGAAGGCGGCCUUCUGGACUGACACUGACGCUGAGGCGCGAAAGCAUGGGUAGCAAACAGGAUUAGAUACCCUGGUAGUCCAUGCCGUAAACGAUGUCAACUAGUUGUUCGUGUCAUUAAGACGUGAGUAACGCAGCUAACGCACUAAGUUGACCGCCUGGGGAGUACGGCCGCAAGGUUAAAACUCAAAUGAAUUGACGGGGGCCCGCACAAGCGGUGGAGCAUGUGGUUUAAUUCGAUGCAACGCGAAGAACCUUACCAUCCCUUGACAUCCAGUGAAUUUUCCAGAGAUGGAUUAGUGCCUUCGGGAACACUGAGACAGGUGCUGCAUGGCUGUCGUCAGCUCGUGUUGUGAGAUGUUGGGUUAAGUCCCGCAACGAGCGCAACCCUUAUCCUUAGUUGCCAGCACGUAAAGGUGGGAACUCUGGGGAGACUGCCGGUGAUAAACCGGAGGAAGGUGGGGACGACGUCAAGUCAUCAUGGCCCUUACGGGAUGGGCUACACACGUGCUACAAUGGCGCGUACAAAGGGCAGCAAGCCAGCGAUGGUUAGCGAAUCCCAUAAAGCGCGUCGUAGUCCGGAUUGGAGUCUGCAACUCGACUCCAUGAAGUCGGAAUCGCUAGUAAUCGUGGAUCAGAAUGCCACGGUGAAUACGUUCCCGGGCCUUGUACACACCGCCCGUCACACCAUGGGAGUGGGCUGCACCAGAAGUGGUUAGUUUAACCUUCGGGAGAACGAUCACCACGGUGUGGUUCAUGACUGGGGUGAAGUCGUAACAAGGUAACCA
Molecule: ribosomal RNA, 1493 nt
Filed under: uncultured Halomonas sp.
Lineage: Bacteria; Pseudomonadati; Pseudomonadota; Gammaproteobacteria; Oceanospirillales; Halomonadaceae
Description: bacterial SSU rRNA
Rfam family: Bacterial small subunit ribosomal RNA
Source: RNAcentral